AACGAACGCUGGCGGCGCGUCUUAACCAUGCAAGUCGAGCGGCAGGCAGCAAUGCCGAGAGCGGCGGACUGGUGAGUAACACGUGGAUAACGUACCCCGAUGUCUGGGACAGCCUGUAGAAAUAGAGGGUAAUACCGGAUAGAUCACUGUUUACGUGAGGUAGACAGCGGGAAAGGAGCUUCGGCUCCGCGUCGGGAACGGUCUGCGGCCCAUCAGCUAGACGGCGGGGUAAGUGCCCGCCGUGGCGAGGACGGGUAUCCGGCCUGAGAGGGCGGACGGACACAUUGGGACUGAGAUACGGCCCAGACUCCUACGGGAGGCAGCAGGUAAGAAUAUUCCGCAAUGGGGGGAACCCUGACGGAGCGACGCCGCGUGAACGAAGAAGGCCGGAAGGUUGUAAAGCUCUUCUCUGUUCGAGGAAUAAGUGUAGGAGGAAAUGCCUGCAUGGUGACGGUAGGGCAGGAAUAAGCACGGCUAAU
Molecule: ribosomal RNA, 479 nt
Filed under: Treponema socranskii
Lineage: Bacteria; Pseudomonadati; Spirochaetota; Spirochaetia; Treponematales; Treponemataceae
Description: bacterial SSU rRNA
Rfam family: Bacterial small subunit ribosomal RNA
Source: RNAcentral